This 482-nucleotide ribosomal RNA is filed under the name Neisseria elongata. RNAcentral describes it as "bacterial SSU rRNA". It matches the Rfam family "Bacterial small subunit ribosomal RNA", at positions 30 to 500 of the family's 1533-position model. Lineage: Bacteria; Pseudomonadati; Pseudomonadota; Betaproteobacteria; Neisseriales; Neisseriaceae. The record is from RNAcentral.
AUUGAACGCUGGCGGCAUGCUUUACACAUGCAAGUCGGACGGCAGCGGGGUAGUGCUUGCACUACUGCCGGCGAGUGGCGAACGGGUGAGUAAUAUAUUGGAACGUACCGAGUAAUGGGGGAUAACCAAUCGAAAGAUUGGCUAAUACCGCAUACGCUCUGAGGAGGAAAGCAGGGGACCUUCGGGCCUUGCGUUAUUCGAGCGGCCAAUAUCUGAUUAGCUAGUUGGUGGGGUAAAGGCCUACCAAGGCGACGAUCAGUAGCGGGUCUGAGAGGAUGAUCCGCCACACUGGGACUGAGACACGGCCCAGACUCCUACGGGAGGCAGCAGUGGGGAAUUUUGGACAAUGGGCGCAAGCCUGAUCCAGCCAUGCCGCGUGUCUGAAGAAGGCCUUCGGGUUGUAAAGGACUUUUGUUAGGGAAGAAAAAGGAGCGGUUAAUACCCGUUUCUGCUGACGGUACUAAAGAAUAAGCACCGGCUAA